AGUUUGAUCCUGGCUCAGAUUGAACGCUGGCGGCAGGCCUAACACAUGCAAGUCGAGCGGUAGCACAGGAGAGCUUGCUCUCUGGGUGACGAGCGGCGGACGGGUGAGUAAUGUCUGGGAAACUGCCUGAUGGAGGGGGAUAACUACUGGAAACGGUAGCUAAUACCGCAUAACGUCUUCGGACCAAAGAGGGGGACCUUCGGGCCUCUUGCCAUCAGAUGUGCCCAGAUGGGAUUAGCUAGUAGGUGAGGUAAUGGCUCACCUAGGCGACGAUCCCUAGCUGGUCUGAGAGGAUGACCAGCCACACUGGAACUGAGACACGGUCCAGACUCCUACGGGAGGCAGCAGUGGGGAAUAUUGUACAAUGGGCGCAAGCCUGAUGCAGCCAUGCCGCGUGUAUGAAGAAGGCCUUCGGGUUGUAAAGUACUUUCAGCGAGGAGGAAGGCAUUGUGGUUAAUAACCGCAGAGAUUGACGUUACUCGCAGAAGAAGCACCGGCUAACUCCGUGCCAGCAGCCGCGGUAAUACGGAGGGUGCGAGCGUUAAUCGGAAUUACUGGGCGUAAAGCGCACGCAGGCGGUCUGUCAAGUCGGAUGUGAAAUCCCCGGGCUCAACCUGGGAACUGCAUUCGAAACUGGCAGGCUAGAGUCUUGUAGAGGGGGGUAGAAUUCCAGGUGUAGCGGUGAAAUGCGUAGAGAUCUGGAGGAAUACCGGUGGCGAAGGCGGCCCCCUGGACAAAGACUGACGCUCAGGUGCGAAAGCGUGGGGAGCAAACAGGAUUAGAUACCCUGGUAGUCCACGCCGUAAACGAUGUCGACUUGGAGGUUGUUCCCUUGAGGAGUGGCUUCCGGAGCUAACGCGUUAAGUCGACCGCCUGGGGAGUACGGCCGCAAGGUUAAAACUCAAAUGAAUUGACGGGGGCCCGCACAAGCGGUGGAGCAUGUGGUUUAAUUCGAUGCAACGCGAAGAACCUUACCUACUCUUGACAUCCACAGAAUUCGGCAGAGAUGCCUUAGUGCCUUCGGGAACUGUGAGACAGGUGCUGCAUGGCUGUCGUCAGCUCGUGUUGUGAAAUGUUGGGUUAAGUCCCGCAACGAGCGCAACCCUUAUCCUUUGUUGCCAGCGGUUCGGCCGGGAACUCAAAGGAGACUGCCAGUGAUAAACUGGAGGAAGGUGGGGAUGACGUCAAGUCAUCAUGGCCCUUACGAGUAGGGCUACACACGUGCUACAAUGGCGCAUACAAAGAGAAGCGACCUCGCGAGAGCAAGCGGACCUCAUAAAGUGCGUCGUAGUCCGGAUCGGAGUCUGCAACUCGACUCCGUGAAGUCGGAAUCGCUAGUAAUCGUAGAUCAGAAUGCUACGGUGAAUACGUUCCCGGGCCUUGUACACACCGCCCGUCACGCCAUGGGAGUGGGUUGCAAAAGAAGUAGGUAGCUUAACCUUCGGGAGGGCGCUUACCACUUUGUGAUUCAUGACUGGGGUGAAGUCGUAACAAGGUAACCGUAGGGGAACCUGCGGCUGGAUCACCUCCUU
This 1532-nucleotide ribosomal RNA is filed under the name Buttiauxella ferragutiae. RNAcentral's name for it is "bacterial SSU rRNA". It matches the Rfam family "Bacterial small subunit ribosomal RNA". Lineage: Bacteria; Pseudomonadati; Pseudomonadota; Gammaproteobacteria; Enterobacterales; Enterobacteriaceae. The record is from RNAcentral.